CGCACGACUCUCGACAACGGAUAUCUCGGCUCUCGCAUCGWUGAASAACGUAGCGAAAUGCGAUACUUGGUGUGAAUUGCAGAAUCCCGUGAACCAUCGAGUCUUUGAACGCAAGUUGCGCCCGAAGCCAGGMUAAGGGCASGUCUGCCUGGGCGUCACGC
RNAcentral lists this ribosomal RNA (161 nucleotides) under Drosophyllum lusitanicum. RNAcentral describes it as "5.8S ribosomal RNA". The record is from RNAcentral. Lineage: Eukaryota; Viridiplantae; Streptophyta; Magnoliopsida; Caryophyllales; Drosophyllaceae.